UUGGAGGGCAAGUCUGGUGCCAGCAGCCGCGGUAAUUCCAGCUCCAAUAGCGUAUAUUAAAGUUGUUGCAGUUAAAAAGCUCGUAGUUGAAUUUCGGGAUCAGAGUGUCGGUCGUGCCUCGGUACGCACUGGCAUUAUUGGUUCCUACCUUCUGAAGAACCGCGAUGUCAUUAAUUUGGUGUCGUGGGGAAUCAGGACUGUUACUUUGAAAAAAUUAGAGUGUUUAAAGCAGGCUUACGCUUGAAUACAUUAGCAUGGAAUAAUGAAAUAGGACGUUUGAUUCUAUUUUGUUGGUUUCUAGGAUUGACGUAAUGAUUAAUAGGGAUAGUUGGGGGCAUUAGUAUUCAAUUGUCAGAGGUGAAAUUCUUGGAUUUAUUGAAGACUAACUACUGCGAAAGCAUUUGCCAAGGAUGUUUUCAUUAAUCAAGAACGAAAGUUAGGGGAUCGAAGACGAUCAGAUACCGUCGUAGUCUUAACCAUAAACUAUGCCGACUAGGGAUCGGAUGAUGUUAAUUUUUUAAUGACUCAUUCGGCGCCUUACGGGAAAC
Molecule: ribosomal RNA, 548 nt
Filed under: uncultured Glomeromycotina
Lineage: Eukaryota; Fungi; Glomeromycota
Description: SSU rRNA
Rfam family: Eukaryotic small subunit ribosomal RNA
Source: RNAcentral